GGUUAAAUGUUUUAAUGAUAUUCUUAUAUCUUACUUCUAUGAAAAAUGACAAUAACAAACUGUCAACCAUCUGAAAAGUCCAUAAAACGAAAUGAAAAUUCAAAGAAGAGCAACACGGACCUCUAAAAAGAUAAAGGAAUGAGAGUACCAGUGCACUGGUUGUUGACAUCACAGAAGUGUUAAAAGAUCGAGCCGAGCAGAAAAGAUAGUAUGAACCCUGUCCAUGAGAUCGCAGAUUUAAGUUGUCUGAACAGAGCUGUACAAUAAUUUUAAGAGACAAAAGUAUUAUAGCAGUAAUCAAACUAGAUGAAAACUGCACAAGUUAACUUGCACAAAUUUGUGGUUUAAAUGAAUAACUCAAACAAACUGAAAAAGUUGAUGCACAAAACGAUCGUGAAAAACGAGUUUAUGGAUCCUUUCUUUAUACUUUGAUCAAUCAAAAUGAAUACAAUAAUGAAAGUGAAUGG
This is a long non-coding RNA of Magallana angulata, 467 nucleotides long. RefSeq lists it as uncharacterized. The transcript has 3 exons. NCBI's taxonomy places the organism in Eukaryota, Metazoa, Mollusca, Bivalvia, Ostreida, Ostreidae. The record is from RefSeq and is a predicted model, not a curated record.